RNAcentral lists this non-coding RNA (68 nucleotides) under Streptomyces noursei. RNAcentral's name for it is "ASdes TB sRNA". It matches the Rfam family "ASdes TB sRNA". The record is from RNAcentral. Lineage: Bacteria; Bacillati; Actinomycetota; Actinomycetes; Kitasatosporales; Streptomycetaceae.
AGCUCGACCGGGUCGACGGCACGGCUGGUGAGCAGGUAGUCGCGCAUCACGAUGCCGUGCCGACCCUC